CCUACGGGAGGCAGCAGUGAGGAAUAUUGGUCAAUGGACGAGAGUCUGAACCAGCCACGUCGCGUGAAGGAAGACGGCCCUACGGGUUGUAAACUUCUUUUGUAAGGGAAUAAAGUGAGUCACGUGUGACUUUUUGCAUGUACCUUACGAAUAAGGAUCGGCUAACUCCGUGCCAGCAGCCGCGGUAAUACGGAGGAUCCGAGCGUUAUCCGGAUUUAUUGGGUUUAAAGGGUGCGCAGGCGGGAGAUUAAGUCGGCGGUGAAAUUUUGCAGCUUAACUGUAAAAGUGCCUUCGAAACUGGUUUUCUUGAGUGUGGAUGAAGUAGGCGGAAUUUGUGGUGUAGCGGUGAAAUGCAUAGAUAUCACGAGGAACUCCGAUUGCGCAGGCAGCUUACUAAGCCAUAACUGACGCUCAGGCACGAAGGCGUGGGGAUCAAACAGGA
This 442-nucleotide ribosomal RNA is filed under the name uncultured Proteiniphilum sp. RNAcentral describes it as "bacterial SSU rRNA". It matches the Rfam family "Bacterial small subunit ribosomal RNA", at positions 338 to 777 of the family's 1533-position model. The record is from RNAcentral. Lineage: Bacteria; Pseudomonadati; Bacteroidota; Bacteroidia; Bacteroidales; Dysgonomonadaceae.